GACGAACGCUGGCGGCGUGCCUAAUACAUGCAAGUCGAGCGGAGUAAAAAGCGUGCUUGCACGGUUUUUAUUUAGCGGCGAACGGGUGAGUAACACGUAGGUAACCUGGCCAUAAGACAGGGAUAACGCACGGAAACGUGAGCUAAAACCAGAUAGGCAUUUUCCACGCAUGAGGGAGAUGAGAAAAGGCGGAGCAAUCUGCCGCUUAUGGAUGGACCUGCGUCGCAUUAGCUAGUUGGAGUGGUAAAGGCACACCAAGGCGACGAUGCGUAGCCGACCUGAGAGGGUGAGCGGCCACACUGGACUGAGACACGGCCCAGACUCCUACGGGAGGCAGCAGUAGGGAAUCUUCCGCAAUGGACGAAAGUCUGACGGAGCAACGCCGCGUGAGUGAAGAAGGUUUC
RNAcentral lists this ribosomal RNA (404 nucleotides) under uncultured bacterium. RNAcentral's name for it is "bacterial SSU rRNA". It matches the Rfam family "Bacterial small subunit ribosomal RNA", at positions 28 to 418 of the family's 1533-position model. The record is from RNAcentral.